UACGUAGGUGGCAAGCGUUGUCCGGAUUUACUGGGUGUAAAGAGCGCGCAGGCGGUCGUAUAAGUCGAAUGUGAAAGCCCCCGGCUCAACUGGGGAGGGUCAUUCGAUACUGUUCGACUCGAAGGCAGGAGAGGGAAGCGGAAUUCCCGGUUUAGUGGUGCAGUGCGUAGCUAUCGGGAGGAACACCAGUGGCGAAGGCGGCUUUCUGGCCUGUUCUUGACGCUGAGGCGCGAAAGCUAGGGGAGCAAACGGG
This 253-nucleotide ribosomal RNA is filed under the name uncultured bacterium. Its description in RNAcentral is "partial 16S ribosomal RNA". It matches the Rfam family "Bacterial small subunit ribosomal RNA", at positions 524 to 776 of the family's 1533-position model. The record is from RNAcentral.